GAUGAACGCUGGCGGCGUGCCUAAUACAUGCAAGUCGAGCGAACAGACGAGGAGCUUGCUCCUCUGACGUUAGCGGCGGACGGGUGAGUAACACGUGGAUAACCUACCUAUAAGACUGGGAUAACUUCGGGAAACCGGAGCUAAUACCGGAUAAUAUAUUGAACCGCAUGGUUCAAUAGUGAAAGACGGUUUUGCUGUCACUUAUAGAUGGAUCCGCGCCGCAUUAGCUAGUUGGUAAGGUAACGGCUUACCAAGGCAACGAUGCGUAGCCGACCUGAGAGGGUGAUCGCCCACACUGGAACGGAGCCACGGCCCACACCCCUACGGGAGGCCGCAGUAGGGAAUCUUCCGCAAUGGGCGAAAGCUUGACGGAGCAACGCCGCGGGAGUGAUGAAGGUCUUCGGAUCGUAAAACUCUGUUAUUAGGGAAGAACAAAUGUGUAAGUAACUAUGCACGUUUUGACGGUACCUAAUCAGAAAGCCACGGCUAACUACGU
RNAcentral lists this ribosomal RNA (496 nucleotides) under uncultured bacterium. RNAcentral describes it as "partial 16S ribosomal RNA". It matches the Rfam family "Bacterial small subunit ribosomal RNA", at positions 28 to 506 of the family's 1533-position model. The record is from RNAcentral.